RNAcentral lists this ribosomal RNA (619 nucleotides) under uncultured bacterium. Its description in RNAcentral is "bacterial SSU rRNA". It matches the Rfam family "Bacterial small subunit ribosomal RNA", at positions 64 to 685 of the family's 1533-position model. The record is from RNAcentral.
GAACGGUAACAGGUUAAGCUGACGAGUGGCGAACGGGUGAGUAAUGUAUCGGAACGUGCCCAGUCGUGGGGGAUAACUGCUCGAAAGAGCAGCUAAUACCGCAUACGACCUGAGGGUGAAAGCGGGGGAUCGCAAGACCUCGCGCGAUUGGAGCGGCCGAUAUCAGAUUAGGUAGUUGGUGGGGUAAAGGCCUACCAAGCCUACGAUCUGUAGCUGGUCUGAGAGGACGACCAGCCACACUGGGACUGAGACACGGCCCAGACUCCUACGGGAGGCAGCAGUGGGGAAUUUUGGACAAUGGGCGCAAGCCUGAUCCAGCCAUGCCGCGUGCGGGAAGAAGGCCUUCGGGUUGUAAACCGCUUUUGUCAGGGAAGAAAUCUCCUGGGUUAAUACCUCGGGAGGAUGACGGUACCUGAAGAAUAAGCACCGGCUAACUACGUGCCAGCAGCCGCGGUAAUACGUAGGGUGCAAGCGUUAAUCGGAAUUACUGGGCGUAAAGCGUGCGCAGGCGGUUAUGCAAGACAGAGGUGAAAUCCCCGGGCUCAACCUGGGAACUGCCUUUGUGACUGCAUAGCUAGAGUGCGGCAGAGGGGGAUGGAAUUCCGCGUGUAGCAGUGAA